UUUUAGUGAACUUUAGUUGGUGGCAAUUGUUGAACUUGAGUUUGUGGCGUUUGUUGAACUUGAGUUUGUGGUGUUUUUAAACUUGAGUUUGUGAAGUGUUUGAACUAGAUUUUACGGUUAUUUUUAAACUUGAGUCUGUGUCUUGUUUGAACUUGAGUUUGUGUUGUGACUGAACUUGAGUUUUUGUUUUUUUUUAACUUGAGGUUGUGGAAAUUGUUAAACGUGCAAAUUGGGCAUUGGUUGAACUUGAGUUCGUGUGUUUGUUGAACUUGAGUUUUUGUCGUUUCGAACUUGAGUUUGUGGUGUUUUUGAACUUGAGUUUGUGUGUUUGUUGAACUUGAGUUUUUGCAUGUUUAAACUUGAGUAUGUGGUGUUUUUGAACUUGAGGUUUUGGCAAAUGUUAAACUUGAUAUUUGGGUGUUGUUUGAACUUGAGUUUGUGUCGUGUUUGAACUUGAGUUUGUGUUGUGUUUGAACUUGAGUUUGUCGUGUUUCAACUUGAUUUUGUGUCGUGUUUCAACUUGAGUUUGUUGCAAUUUUUGAACUUGAUUUUUGAACUUGAGUCUUUGGUU
Non-coding RNA from Xyrichtys novacula (pearly razorfish), 571 nucleotides. Lineage: Eukaryota; Metazoa; Chordata; Actinopteri; Labriformes; Labridae. The record is from the annotation of a GenBank genome assembly.